AUUGAACGCUGGCGGAAUGCUUUACACAUGCAAGUCGAACGGCAGCACGGGGCAACCUGGUGGCGAGUGGCGAACGGGUGAGUAAUACAUCGGAACGUGCCCAAUCGUGGGGGAUAACGUAGCGAAAGUUACGCUAAUACCGCAUACGAUCUACGGAUGAAAGCGGGGGAUCGCAAGACCUCGCGCGAAUGGAGCGGCCGAUGUCAGAUUAGGUAGUUGGUGGGGUAAAGGCUCACCAAGCCAACGAUCUGUAGCUGGUCUGAGAGGACGACCAGCCACACUGGAACUGAGACACGGUCCAGACUCCUACGGGAGGCAGCAGUGGGGAAUUUUGGACAAUGGGCGCAAGCCUGAUCCAGCCAUUCCGCGUGCAGGAUGAAGGCCUUGGUU
This 390-nucleotide ribosomal RNA is filed under the name uncultured bacterium. Its description in RNAcentral is "bacterial SSU rRNA". It matches the Rfam family "Bacterial small subunit ribosomal RNA", at positions 30 to 424 of the family's 1533-position model. The record is from RNAcentral.